Molecule: ribosomal RNA, 497 nt
Filed under: uncultured bacterium
Lineage: Bacteria
Description: partial 16S ribosomal RNA
Rfam family: Bacterial small subunit ribosomal RNA
Source: RNAcentral
GAUGAACGCUGGCGGCGUGCCUAAUACAUGCAAGUCGAGCGAACGGACGAGAAGCUUGCUUCUCUGAUGUUAGCGGCGGACGGGUGAGUAACACGUGGAUAACCUACCUAUAAGACUGGGAUAACUUCGGGAAACCGGAGCUAAUACCGGAUAAUAUUUUGAACCGCAUGGUUCAAAAGUGAAAGACGGUCUUGCUGUCACUUAUAGAUGGAUCCGCGCUGCAUUAGCUAGUUGGUAAGGUAACGGCUUGCCAAGGCAACGAUGCAUAGCCGACCUGAGAGGGUGAUCGGCCACACUGGAGCUGAGACACGGUCCAGACUCCUACGGGAGGCAGCAGUAGGGAAUCUUCCGCAAUGGGCGAAAGCCUGACGGAGCAACGCCGCGUGAGUGAUGAAGGUCUUCGGAUCGUAAAACUCUGUUAUUAGGGAAGAACAUAUGUGUAAGUAACUGUGCACAUCUUGACGGUACCUAAUCAGAAAGCCACGGCUAACUACGUG